AUGCCCUUUUAAGGUCGACCAGUGCCUUCAGAGGCUCACACAGAAGGGUAAAGUUGGUCUCUGUAAAACCCAGAGAAGAGAUGAUAAAACUCUUUGGAGCCUGUCUGGUGUCACAGCU
This is a small nucleolar RNA of Phyllostomus discolor (pale spear-nosed bat), 118 nucleotides long. RefSeq annotates it as small nucleolar RNA SNORA26. The record is from RefSeq and is a predicted model, not a curated record. Lineage: Eukaryota; Metazoa; Chordata; Mammalia; Chiroptera; Phyllostomidae. The transcript has a single exon.